GAUGAAGAACGUAGCGAAAUGCGAUAAGUAAUGUGAAUUGCAGAAUUCAGUGAAUCAUCGAAUCUUUGAACGCACAUUGCGCCCCUUGGUAUUCCGAGGGGCAUGCCUGUUCGAGCGUCAUUAUAACCCCUCAAGCUCAGCUUGGUGUUGGGGCCUGCUGCACUGGCAGCCCUUAAAAUCAGUGGCGGCGCCAUCUGGCUCUAAGCGUAGUAAUUCUUCUCGCUAUGGAGUCCUGGUGGAUGCUUGCCAUCAACCCCCAAUUUUUCUAUGGUUGACCUCGGAUCAGGUAGGGAUACCCGCUGAACUUAAGCAUAUCAAUAAGUGGAGGA
Molecule: unclassified non-coding RNA, 329 nt
Filed under: soil metagenome
Description: partial contains 5.8S ribosomal RNA, internal transcribed spacer 2, and large subunit ribosomal RNA
Rfam family: 5.8S ribosomal RNA (bases 1-120)
Source: RNAcentral